RNAcentral lists this small nucleolar RNA (93 nucleotides) under Purpureocillium lilacinum. RNAcentral's name for it is "A. fumigatus snoRNA Afu_335". It matches the Rfam family "A. fumigatus snoRNA Afu_335". The record is from Rfam by way of RNAcentral. Lineage: Eukaryota; Fungi; Ascomycota; Sordariomycetes; Hypocreales; Ophiocordycipitaceae.
CGCUAUGAUGAACCCCAGAUAGGGACAGCUUAUACUUCGGUAUAUGAUGAGACCCUGGGCGAAAAUUUUAGUAGAUGCUUCGACUUUCUGAGC